GAUGAACGCUGGCGGCGUGCCUAACACAUGCAAGUCGAGCGGGAAAUUCCUGAUUGAAACUUCGGUCGAAAGAAGGAAUGGAGAGCGGCGGACGGGUGAGUAACGCGUAGGCAACCUGCCCUUUGCAGAGGGAUAGCCAUUGGAAACGAUGAUUAAAACCUCAUAAUGCCGGAAGUUCACAUGUACAUCCGGCCAAAGAUUUAUCGGCAAAGGAUGGGCCUGCGUCUGAUUAGCUAGUUGGUGGGGUAACGGCCUACCAAGGCGACGAUCAGUAGCCGACCUGAGAGGGUGAUCGGCCACAUUGGAACUGAGACACGGUCCAAACUCCUACGGGAGGCAGCAGUGGGGAAUAUUGCACAAUGGCGAAAGCCUGAUGCAGCAACGCCGCGUGAAGGAGACGGUCUUCGGAUUGUAAACUUUGUCUUGUGAGAGAAUGACGGUAGCCAAGGAGGAAGCCACGGCUAACUACGUGCCAGCAGCCG
RNAcentral lists this ribosomal RNA (482 nucleotides) under uncultured bacterium. RNAcentral describes it as "bacterial SSU rRNA". It matches the Rfam family "Bacterial small subunit ribosomal RNA", at positions 28 to 517 of the family's 1533-position model. The record is from RNAcentral.